Non-coding RNA from Microcebus murinus (gray mouse lemur), 713 nucleotides. Lineage: Eukaryota; Metazoa; Chordata; Mammalia; Primates; Cheirogaleidae. The record is from RefSeq and is a predicted model, not a curated record.
CACAAAGUUCCCAGGGCCAUCUUUGCUGUACAUCCAAAUGCACAGGCAGGCAUUAAAAUCCCUGGCAGAGCGAUGCUAUCAAAUGGCCAGCCAGAUGCUCCAGCAUGAGUAAUUCACAUUAGUAUAUUAGAUUAUUAUUUAAGUGAAGGCACAAAGUUUAAAAAAAGAAUUUGCAAAGUUUAAAAGCUUAAAAAGGAGGAAUGAAUCUUGUGAAUAUAUCUACAAAACCCCUGUUUUGAAUUAUGUUGCUUGAAUUAUGUUUGUAAACCCUUCUAGAAUGCUCACGAUGUUCCGAUUAAAUCUGGGUUUAGUUUUAUUGUCACAAAGGCUGUUGCUCUUAGCACUUUCUAGGAGCCACCUCUCAUCCUUUCUUGUGUUUAACAUAGCAGCUGCAUUUGAACAACUCACUCUGACCGGCCUUGAGAGAAGACACAGUUCCCAUACUAAAGAAGCUAAUCUCCAUGACAAAAGAUUGCAUAUGCUGUUCACCCUGAUGUGACACUGGCUGAAUCAAAAAUUUUCACUGAAUGAUGAGUCAUUGGGGAAAUGUGCAUGUAAUCAUUCCAUUGCUGCUGGAGGUACACCCUGCUAUUCCACUAGACUGAGGGGUGCCGAGGACAGGUUAAGAUGAUUCCCUGCAAAGGGAAACUAACACAUCCCAGUUCCCUUUGGGAGCUCAUCUUUUGGAGAAACUUACCAUAGAAAGUUAUAAA